UACAGAGGUCCCAAGCGUUGUUCGGAAUUACUGGGCGUAAAGGGCGCGUAGGCGGCCUGUUAAGUCGAACGUGAAAUCCCCGGGCUCAACCCGGGAACUGCGUCCGAUACUGGCAGGCUUGAAUCCGGGAGAGGGAUGCGGAAUUCCAGGUGUAGCGGUGAAAUGCGUAGAUAUCUGGAGGAACACCGGUGACGAAGGCGGCAUCCUGGACCGGUAUUGACGCUGAGGCGCGAAAGCCAGGGGAGCAAACGGG
Molecule: ribosomal RNA, 253 nt
Filed under: uncultured bacterium
Lineage: Bacteria
Description: partial 16S ribosomal RNA
Rfam family: Bacterial small subunit ribosomal RNA
Source: RNAcentral